AGUUUCUGCCCAAAAAGGUGGAACUCCACUAAGUAAUAUGUACAAGAUAACUCCUGCACUCCAUACAUCUGAUUCAGGUCCAUAAUGCUUGCAUAAAACUUCUGGGGCAACAUAAUAAGGACUUCCAACAACAUCAGAGAAUGUUUCACCUGGCUUAUAGAAAACAGAAAGGCCAAAAUCAGUGGCCUUGAGGGCAGCAUCUUCUUGAGAACUAAGA
RNAcentral lists this unclassified non-coding RNA (217 nucleotides) under Hevea brasiliensis (rubber tree). Lineage: Eukaryota; Viridiplantae; Streptophyta; Magnoliopsida; Malpighiales; Euphorbiaceae. The record is from RNAcentral.